This 74-nucleotide transfer RNA is filed under the name Chloroflexota bacterium. RNAcentral's name for it is "Chloroflexi bacterium (sediment metagenome) tRNA-His". It matches the Rfam family "tRNA". From Rfam's summary of the family: Transfer RNA (tRNA) molecules are approximately 80 nucleotides in length. Lineage: Bacteria; Bacillati; Chloroflexota. The record is from RNAcentral.
GUGCCUGUAGCUCAAUGGCAGAGUACUGGACUGUGGAUCCAGUUGUUGCGGGUUCGACCCCCGUCAGGCACCCA